UGCCCACGGAUCAGUCACUUGUGCAUGCCGUGGUCAUGUUGUAGCAGACGUAUUAAUGCCUUUUGCCACCAAAACUGACCCGUUCUGGCUCCACGAGGAUGCACACACCUCAUUUUCUGCUCUGUGAGUGGGGCUCUAAACGCAGGCACCUGCCCCUGUCCCCAUCACGCUCCGUCUCACUCUCUAGAUUGCGUUGCUGCAGCCGCAUCAAUCAGGCUCCUUAAGGGGAGGGAUGGAGAAGGCAGGAUUUCAGCUCUGCUUGUUUAACAAAAGUAUAUCCACUUAGGAAAAAAAAAAAAAAAAAAGCUUGGAAUCAGAAGCUGAAAUUUAUCUAGUGCAGAGUGAGCUGUUCAGCUUCUCUCUCCAGAAAACAAUCCUGUAGAAUUUGACUGAAAGUAACAGCCAUGUUUUUUUUUUUUUAAUAAUUAUUUUUAUUUAACAGUUUUGGGUUAGGUUUAGGCAUAGCAGGAAAGAUUACUCUGAUGAAUUCUAACUCAGUUUAAUUAUAGGAGUUGAAACUGAGUCAAUUCCCCGCUCUCCAGCGCAGAACUGCACAGAAAAGCAACGUGCUGAUUCGAGUCAAUCUGCUUUAGCCACGCAGCUCCUAAAGGGAGAUUUUGUUGUGUCCUGCAAUCUUGGCCUCCUGAACCUCAGAGCUGACGGGUGGUGGCAGGUUCCUGCAGGACAAGCGGGCUAAGUUUCACGUCUCAUUGCAGCAGGAGUACGGCGGCACCCUCGCAGGGUCGGGCUCCGAGCUGCCCCAGGCAGAGGCAAACCGCCCGGCCACCGCAGGCUCUCGGGAGCUUUCUUAAAAGAGUAAAAGAGUCUGCAGAGAAAAAGGACAGGCAAGAGACCAGAAAGGAAAAGAGAGAAGUCAAAAAGUUACUCAGCAGCAGCAGCCUGGUUAAGUUUAAUUCCAGUGCAUUGACUCUGCGCAGCUCCUUGGGGAAUGAAGGAAUGAAAGAAAAGGAGGAAGUGAAGCAAAAUAAUUGAAAGGAGUAAUUCAAUUUGGAAAGAAUUAUUCUGCUAAUGAUUUAUGGCUUCAUUAAUGACUGAUUGAACGAAUGAUUUUUUUUUUCUUCUUCUUUUUUUUACUUAUUAGGAAUUAAGGCUGCUGGCUAAAAGGUUAUUGGAUGUCACAGCAACAGAGACUCAUUUGUCUCCAUUUAAAUACUUAAUGAUCUCUAUUUUCUCCCCCUCGAUCAAUAAGAUCUAGAAGCACUCUGCUGCAAACUUUCCUGGCCUCAUAAAGAUGUGAUCUGGUGCUCUGAGGAGAGGGAGGACAGGCGGUAACGAGGCAGGGCUGAAAGGGCACCAAUGUUGCAGAGAGAAACCCUGGUGCUGGGAGGCAAAACCCUGUCCCCAUCCCCAUCCCUAUCCCUGUCCCUGUCCCUGUCCUGCUGUGCUGGGGGCUGCCACCGUGCUCUGACCCUGCCACAAAUUCAGGGGCUGUUCUGACGGAGUCGUUCACCUUUGAGUGCCAUCACUGCUCCCGGCUGCACUAGGAGCAUCAGCCCCAGCCUGGAGCUCCUGCUCCUCCCUGCACCCCCUGAGAUAAAUGUAUUUUCCCUUUUUGGGCCCCAAAACCCUUGGUGCCGUUGCAUUUGGUGAGGUUGUUGGUGAGACCUGUGUUGUACGUGUCUAUAAAGGGAGCUAAGGCCACGCUCACCUCUGCCUUCCUGGCACUACUCAGCCGUGUACGCGGGUGUGCCUGCGUAAAGGAAUCCAGCCGUAUGUGUGCGUGUGCUUUCAUAGAUCGAGGGCACACC
Long non-coding RNA from Anser cygnoides (Swan goose), 1769 nucleotides. The record is from Ensembl. NCBI's taxonomy places the organism in Eukaryota, Metazoa, Chordata, Aves, Anseriformes, Anatidae.